ACGCUCGACACCUACGGGAGGCAGCAGGUGGGGAAUAUUGCACAAUGGGGGAAACCCUGAUGCAGCGACGCCGCGUGAAGGAAGAAGUAUCUCGGUAUGUAAACUUCUAUCAGCAGGGAAGAAAAUGACGGUACCUGACUAAGAAGCCCCGGCUAACUACGUGCCAACAGCCGCGGUAAUCUGAGGCGGGCUGGCAAGGC
Molecule: ribosomal RNA, 200 nt
Filed under: uncultured bacterium
Lineage: Bacteria
Description: partial 16S ribosomal RNA
Rfam family: Bacterial small subunit ribosomal RNA
Source: RNAcentral